UAAUACGAAGGGGGCUAGCGUUGUUCGGAAUUACUGGGCGUAAAGCGUACGUAGGCGGAUUUGUAAGUAGGGGGUGAAAUCCCCAGGCUCAACCUGGGAACUGCCUUCUAGACUGCAAGUCUUGAGAUCAGGAGAGGCGAGUGGAAUUCCGAGUGUAGAGGUGAAAUUCGUAGAUAUUCGGAGGAACACCAGUGGCGAAGGCGACUCGCUGGACUGAUACUGACGCUGAGGUACGAAAGCGUGGGGAGCAAACAGGAUUAGAUACCCUGGUAGUCCACGCCUUAAACGAUGAGAGCUAGUUGUCAGUAAGCAUGCUUAUUGGUGACGCAGCUAACGCAUUAAGCUCUCCGCCUGGGGAGUACGGCCGCAAGGUUA
This 375-nucleotide ribosomal RNA is filed under the name uncultured bacterium. RNAcentral describes it as "bacterial SSU rRNA". It matches the Rfam family "Bacterial small subunit ribosomal RNA", at positions 521 to 896 of the family's 1533-position model. The record is from RNAcentral.